GGGUGAAUAGUUUAAUUGGGAGAACGUAGCCGUUGCACUAGAAGCUAAGGCGGUAGAUCGAACCUACCUUCACCUA
Naegleria gruberi is the source of this 76-nucleotide non-coding RNA. The record is from the annotation of a RefSeq genome assembly. Lineage: Eukaryota; Heterolobosea; Eutetramitea; Acrasida; Naegleriidae.